Long non-coding RNA from Lutzomyia longipalpis, 1249 nucleotides. RefSeq lists it as uncharacterized. The transcript is spliced from 4 exons. NCBI's taxonomy places the organism in Eukaryota, Metazoa, Arthropoda, Insecta, Diptera, Psychodidae. The record is from RefSeq and is a predicted model, not a curated record.
AAACGUGUAAUUAAAACGUGUAAAAAUGCUGGACAAAAUAUCCACAAUAUUGUCUUUCUUCGAGUGAACUUCAUCAAAGAAAUUCCAUGGAAGUUUUCCCCUUGUUAAAAAGUUGGCGUAGGAGGGUUCCUUUUUUGUGCUCUGCAAGCGUUCGUGCGAGUCAGUUGUUCUGAUUCAGCGCUGGUUGCAAUUUUUACGUGAAAAACAACCAUCUCGCCCAGGAAACAUCUCCCAAAGCAUGGCUGCUGCAGUUUGCUAAAGAUAUUGAGGAGAAGCCCCAGGCGGAAGUUGCUUCAGUUCAUCGUAUAUUCGCAUCACCCUCACAUCCCGGAAUGUGCGUUCCCUGGAGAAGGUGUGUGGUGACCUGGUGACUGGGGCGCCAAGAAGCAGAAGCUCCGUGUUGAGGUCUCGUGUAAUCUUCUGCUUAAUUCCGGGGGAUUGUGGGGGGAGGAGGAAUUGCCGGAGUAUCGUGUGCUGAGACAAUUGCCUUUCUCUGUCCAGAAGAGAAAAUAAUCCUCGUAACAGAGUCUCGACUCAUUCUGCACAGGAGCUCGUCCCAAUUUAAUAGAAGAGCACCCCCAUGUAAUUGGGAUUCGUGACACAGAAUCAGUGCAGGAAUUUCAGAGAAGGAUCACGGAUAGUAAGAGAAUUGUUUUCGUGGGAAAUGGUGGAAUUGCCAGUGAGAUUGCCUACGCAGUGAAAGCUGUUACAAUUGAUUGGGUAGUCAGGGAUAAUCAAUCUCAUUUCCUCCACAUUCCUUGAUCCAGGAGCUGCUGAAUUCUUCAAGAAGAAUCUGCAGGGAAAAGGCUCCAGUAUGGUGAAACGCAGGGAACUAAUGGAGCAGCCUUGGGUCCCGAUUGGCAUUGAAUGCCCGAUGUUUCCGGAAGUGGACGCAAUCUCCCGGAUUCCGUCAACAUUCACUAACUCUUGAGUGCGACUUUGUCGUUUCAGCAAGUGGUGUCAAUCCCAGAAUUGAUUACACGGUAGAUUCACCACUGGAGCGUGCCACAGACGGUGGGAUUUCAGUCAAUGAACUCAUGCGAACAUCCCUGGUGGAUAUUUAUGCGGCUGGGGAUUGCUGUACGGCCACAUGGAAGCCAGCAGGGAAUUGGUUUGGCUCCCAAAAAGAGUUAAAAUGGCUCUUUUCAGAGCCCACAAAAUUAAUUUUUUUAAAGAGUUAAAAAAUGAAUAAUUAAAAUAUUUUUUUAAGUACAAAAGAAUUUAUUGAAUUAAAAUUUAUUAAAUAAAA